AACCCAUGGUAAGGGCACCUUCUUAAAAGAUCCUUAAAUCUCUCCCAUACGUCAUAUAAUGUCUCCAAAUCAAUUUGAGCAAAAGAAGAGAUGUCGUUUCUAAACUU
RNAcentral lists this small nucleolar RNA (107 nucleotides) under Gossypium hirsutum (cotton). RNAcentral's name for it is "Plant small nucleolar RNA R71". It matches the Rfam family "Plant small nucleolar RNA R71". From Rfam's summary of the family: R71 is a member of the C/D box family of snoRNAs containing the C (UGAUGA) and D (CUGA) box motifs. Lineage: Eukaryota; Viridiplantae; Streptophyta; Magnoliopsida; Malvales; Malvaceae. The record is from Rfam by way of RNAcentral.